Prunus avium (sweet cherry) is the source of this 312-nucleotide non-coding RNA. NCBI's taxonomy places the organism in Eukaryota, Viridiplantae, Streptophyta, Magnoliopsida, Rosales, Rosaceae. The record is from RefSeq and is a predicted model, not a curated record.
AAAUAGCUCUUGAAAGCUAUGGUUUUCUAUUCAACUUUUCAUCUAACACGGAUUCUGCUAGUUCCAAUUCUGCUUGUCGAGGUCCAGCUCAAAAUAUUAGAGCUUGGCUUAAACUUGCAACUGCUUCUUGUCAAAUGAGAAACAAAAGGGCUAUGCAGAGUACCUAAGGACUUGAACUGCCUAAGAAUUGUGGAAUGCAUUUCGGGAGUCAAUACUCGCUGUAAGCUGUUUAGAAUUACAGUUGCCGAUUUUUGUUUAUCAAUAGUUUAGAGCAUUAUUCAUUACUAUUUGGAGAUUACAUGAGUCUUUAUU